GUAAAUACUUUCUAGGGUUCCGCCUUAUUGGGUCUGGUCCGAGAGAAAGUGCAAAGAAUUUUUUCUUUGUCCACGGAGGGAUAAAAGCCCGGGAGAU
Molecule: small RNA, 97 nt
Filed under: Oceanobacillus iheyensis
Lineage: Bacteria; Bacillati; Bacillota; Bacilli; Caryophanales; Bacillaceae
Also listed under: 1 other name
Description: Guanidine-I sequence
Rfam family: Guanidine-I riboswitch aptamer
About the family: This family represents a conserved RNA structure found upstream of the ykkC and yxkD genes in Bacillus subtilis and related genes in other bacteria. The function of this family is unclear although it has been suggested that it may function to switch on efflux pumps and detoxification systems in response to harmful environmental molecules.
Source: RNAcentral